RNAcentral lists this transfer RNA (71 nucleotides) under Acanthisitta chloris (rifleman). RNAcentral describes it as "tRNA-Pro". It matches the Rfam family "tRNA". Rfam says of the family: Transfer RNA (tRNA) molecules are approximately 80 nucleotides in length. Their secondary structure includes four short double-helical elements and three loops (D, anti-codon, and T loops). Lineage: Eukaryota; Metazoa; Chordata; Aves; Passeriformes; Acanthisittidae. The record is from RNAcentral.
CAGAAAAUAGUUUAAUGCGAGAAUACCAGCUUUGGGAGUUGGUGGUAAAGGUUUGAGUCCUUUUUUUCUGA